Molecule: ribosomal RNA, 473 nt
Filed under: uncultured bacterium
Lineage: Bacteria
Description: partial 16S ribosomal RNA
Rfam family: Bacterial small subunit ribosomal RNA
Source: RNAcentral
AAUGAACGUUGGCGGCACGGAUUAGGCAUGCAAGUCGAGCGGGCGUAGCAAUACGUCAGCGGCGUAAGGGACAGGAACACGUAGAUUACCUGCCCUCGGGUCUGGGAUAGCCACGGGAAACUGUGGGUAAUACCAGAUGAUAUCUCCGGAUCAAAGGUGUGAUUCCGCCCGAGGAUGGGUCUGCGUCCUAUUAGCUAGUUGGUGAGGUAAUGGCUCACCAAGGCGAUGAUGGGUAGCAGGUGUGAGAGCACGACCUGCGUCAUUGGGACUGAGACACUGCCCAGACACCUACGGGUGGCUGCAGUCGAGAAUUUUUGGCAAUGGGCGAAAGCCUGACCAAGCGGUGCCGCGUGCGGGAUGAAGGCCUUCGGGCUGUAAACCGCUGUCAGUGGGGAGGAAAGCUUUGUGAAGAGCAAGGCUUGACCUAUCCGCAGAGGAAGUGUGGGCUAAGUUCGUGCCAGCAGCCGCCGUAA